AGAGAGAGACAUGCGCGCAUAUCAAUAAGCGGAGGAAAAGAAACUAACAAGGAUUCCCCUAGUAACGGCGAGUGAAGCGGGAAGAGCUCAAAUUUGAAAUCUUAAAGGGUUUCCCUUUACGAAUUGUAGUUUAAAGAAGUGUUUUCUGUUGAGGUUUUGGUAAAAGUUCUUUGGAAUAGGACAUCAUAGAGGGUGAGAAUCCCGUAUUUGACCUUUACUUUCAACUUUGUGAUACACUUUCAAAGAGUCGGAUUGUUUGGGAAUGCAGUCCAAAAUGGGUGGUAAAUUUCAUCUAAAGCUAAAUAUUGGCGAGAGACCGAUAGCGAACAAGUACCUUGAGGGAAAGAUGAAAAGAACUUUGAAAAGAGAGUUAAACAGUACGUGAAAUUGUCAAAAGGGAAGCGUUUGACACCAGUGUUGUUUUUCUGAAAAUCAAUUAAAGAACUGUUUAUGCUAAGUUGUUUAGACUUUAUCAGCUAACUGUUUAGUUUUGAGCUUUUCUUUAAUGCACUUUUCAGUUAACAAGUCAACAUCAAUUUCUUUUGCUGUAAAAAAGCUUGAGGAAGGUGGCUUGAGAUUCGUCUUAAGUGUUUAUAGCCUCUUGCCUAUGCAGUCGGAGAGAUUGAGGUCUGCAGCGUAGAUCCUUCGGGGCUAAAUGCAUUUGUGCUAAGUUAUAGCAUUUUAUAGACAACUUGUUGACUAUGAUUUGUCUUGUAGCUUACUCGCUUAUGUUAUUUUACCUACGCUUAGGAUGUUGACGCAUGAGAUAUACGC
This 774-nucleotide ribosomal RNA is filed under the name uncultured Neocallimastigales. Its description in RNAcentral is "partial large subunit ribosomal RNA". It matches the Rfam family "Eukaryotic large subunit ribosomal RNA", at positions 23 to 646 of the family's 3401-position model. Lineage: Eukaryota; Fungi; Neocallimastigomycota; Neocallimastigomycetes; Neocallimastigales. The record is from RNAcentral.